UUCAUGAGAAGUCACUCACUGUCAUGAGGGCAGCACCAAGAGGAAACAGCUAAACCAUUCAUGAGAAAUCCGCCACCAUGGUCCAGUCACCUCCUACUAGGUUUCACCUUCAAUACUGGGGAUUAAAAUUCAACAUAAGAUUUGGCAGGGACACAUAUUUAAACUAUAUCAGGGAGGCUGAGAAGUCCCACGAUAGUCUGUCUGCAAGCUGGAGAACCAGGAAAGCCCUUAGCAUGACUCAGUCCAAGUCCAAAGACCUCUGAACCAAGGAAGCCAAUGGUGUAAUUCUCAGUCUGAGCUCAAGGCCUGAGAGCCUGGGGGCUGUUGGUGUGAGUCACAAAGGUCAAAGCCUGAAGAAUCUGGAGUUAUUCCAUCCCAAGGUAGAAGAGGGGUGACCUGGCUCUGGGAGAGAGUGCCCAAAUUCAUCCUUCCUCUGCCAUUUUGUUCCAUUUGGCCCCAGCCUGCUAGAUGGCCCUUGCCUGCAUGGAGGGUAGAUCUUCUCCACUCAGUCCACUGACUCACAUGCCAAUCUCCAGAAACACCCCCACAGUCACACCUGGGGCAGUCCAAUCGUCUGAAUCACAAGCAAAAACACUUAGUUUUUUGCUAUCAGCAGAAGAGGGCUGGGCUCAGUGCCUACUGAAGCACUGAGAAUAAACAAUGCUAUACCAGGUAGUAUCCCUUAAUUUGGUCAAGUUGACAACCCCAAAUCAACCCACAAUAAAUAUUUGGUUUUUGUCCCCAGUUCCUGGCACAGAGCUCCUUAAACCCUUGGAAUUUAUUAUCUUAUAUAUGCUAACUCUUAGAGUUGGGGAGGACCCUAGAUAGCUUCAAUAUGGUGGCUGGUCACCAGAAAAACCAACCGUGUAACUGGAGGUUGGAACUUUUAGCUUUGUCCCCUAACUUCCAAGAAAGGGAGAGGGGCCAGAGAUUGAGUUCAGUCAUCGAUGGCCAAUGAUUUAAUCAAUCACGUCUACAUAAUGAAACCUUUACAAAGACCCCUAAAUGAUGGUGUGUGGGGAGCUUAGAGUUGAUGAACAUAUGGAGGAGCUGGGAAGGUUGCACCCAAAGAGGACGGGGAAGCCCCCUCAUCCCCGUACCUUGCCCUAUGCAUCUCUCCAUCUGGCUGUUCCUGAGUUGUAGUCUUUAAAUUAAACUGGUAAUUGUAGGUAAAGCACUUUCCUGAGUUCUAGGAGUCAUUCUAGCAAAUUAUUGAACCUAAGGAGGGGCUCAGGGAAACCUCUGAAUUUGUAGUCAGCCAGGCAGAAGUAUGGGCAGCCUGGGCAUCCCAUUUGUAGCUGGUGUCUGAAGUGGGGCAGAAUUGCAGGACUGAGCCCUUAACUUGUGAGGUCUCUGCUAACUCUGGGUGUUAGUGUCAGGAUUGAAUUGGAUUGUUGGACAAGCAGCUGGUGUUAGAGAAUUACAGAACUGGCAUGGAAAAAUCACACAUAUUUGGUGUCAGGAAAAACCAUACGCAUAUUAUAUUACAUUCACCCAUUUUUCUGUGAAAUCCAAGUAUUUCUGUUGGAAUUGCUUUCGCCAAGAAGUGUGUAAGGAACUAUGAGUCCCUGUGAGGCAGAGCCUGAAGCAGUGUGUAGUUCCAUCUUGCUUCCAUCUGCCAUGGUAACUGGCAAUGUUCUAAACAGAGGCUGUUCCUUCAGCCUGGGCCCCAGAGUGAACACCAUGCAGAACAGAGAUGUGGAUGGAUCAUGAGCAAGAAACAAACCUUGUUGUCAAGGUCUAGGCAUAACUUGGUUUCAUAACAUGACCUGGAUUAUAUUAGUUAAGGUUCAGGUGAUAUGGAAUAAGGGAUUUAUUAUGGGAGAUGGGGUUUCUGCGUUCGUAGGAGCUCAGGAACAAGUUUAGGAAAGAGUGUUGCCACUGGUCUUGGGGCUGGAGUCCCUACAGAUCCUCUGGGCUUGAGGAGGGGAGAGGAAGGACAGAGUAGAACUGCUUGUCUCACUGCCUCCACCUCCAGCAUGUGGCUACCUGCAGAAGAAGCUGACAUCCUGCGCUUCCACACACACUCCUGCACAGAACUUGAAGGUGAACGAGGGGAGACUCAGCUGGGAGGAGGUUCUCCUUUGCCCAUUAUUCUUCCUGGCCACAUCUAAAGUGGAUAUUGUCUGUUUAUAGGCACAGCUGUUUAAAGAAACCAGAUGGUCUGGAUGCCACAAGUAGCCCCCUUGAGACCCGCUGCUGAAUAACUGAGGAAGUUCAGACCCACAUGAAACUGGUGCAGACCAGAGCAGGCGACCUCCAGUUACCUUUAAGUCAUUAACGUAUCAUUAUAAUACUAGAAAUCUUUCCCCUAAGAGAAAAUUGCCCCCAUUUUGUCUACAUGCAGUGUGUGUAGAAACAUGUUCAUGUACUAUGCCUGUGUUUGCAACUCCAUCCAGUACAUGCCCACAUACUUCCCCAGGCUUGUGCCCAACUCUCUAAAACUCCCAUGCCUCCAGGAAGAUGGUGCCUUUGGAACAUGAGCUCCCCUUCUCCAUUCUUUGGCCACUGAAUAAAAACCUGGUUGACUUCCCAAUUGGAUGUUCUUUCUUUGCAGCCAAUGUGAAGUAGGCAAAGAACACAAUUGACCAGUGACAUUAUGUCUCCAGGGGUCUUACUUUUAAGCACCAUGCUAACUGCUUUCCCUAUUCGCCCUGUGCAAGACCUCACAUGGUUGAAUAUUUAAUAAUUAAAUUCGAAUGAUGUUAGUGAAUUCUUUUAGGUUAUCGAUACUCGUUUAUAAGGUUGUGCCCUGAUACCAGUGAUCAGGACAAUGGUGCACUUCUCUAAAAAGGGUUGUGGGGUCCAGGUUCCACACUUCUCAGCAACAUUGACCUCUAAAACCAAGCAAGGCAGGGGAAAUCUCUGCAGAUUUAUACAGCUAGAAAAAUGAAAUGGUUGAAAAUAGGCAACUUUAAUUAAAAGAAUCUUCAACUAAACUUUUGUCUUUGGAGCUGUGGGUCUAAGAAAUGGCACCAAAGUAUGGUUUAUACACUUGAUAGAAAACCUCUCAGUCACCAAGAAGUGCCAUCCUUGCCCCUUGAAAAAGGAACUUUGUCUAUUCCUGUAUCUUGGAUCACAUGUUAAUGUCCUUUAAAAGUGGAAAUGGUUAGAUUCACAUUUAACAAAGCACAAAUCAUUCCCUCCAAUAUUUGUAAUUUUCAGGUGAAAUUGCAAGGAUGAAUAAAAAAGGUGACCUACAUAAAAAAAAGGAAAUAAAAACCAGAGGGGUGGGUCAAAAAAGUAAAGGUCUUUUUUAAGCUUUUGCUGGGCUGUGUUCCUGAAGGUAGUGGCCUGUGCACAUAAGCCUUUCAGUACCAGCUGAAGAGUCACUAGUCCUUGCUCUUCCAUCAGUGCCUCCAUAUCCACCAUAUGCAAUUCAGAGAAUUAAUGACAUUUCAAAUCUGUAAGAAAGCCUACUGGGGAUGGGUGAAUGGAGGAAGCACAAAGGGAUAUAGAUGUUAGGGUCUAACAGUCUAUAGAAUUCAGUGAGGGUCAAAUAACUCAAGGAGAAUCCAGUAUUUUAGCCUAGGUUUCAAAGAUAAGUGCUGUUCACUAGGUGGUCAAAGAAGAGGAGAGCAUUCCAGACAAGAACAGCUUGAGCUAAGGCGCUUAGGUGAGAAAUUACAACUGGUUCAGUAUGGUUCGUGUGAUGGGCACUAAGCCAAGGAGUGUGACAGAUGCUGAGAAGUGUUAGGCAGGGAGGUGCAAUUUUGACUGGCCCUAUGGGUCACACCAAAGAGUUUGAAGUCUAUACCCUAGGCCAGUGGCUUACUCCCUUGGCUACAUCCAUAAUCCCCUAGGGAGCUUAAAGAAAUUUUAACCACCAAGCCUCACCUGAGCAACUGAGUCAGAAUCUCUAGCAGUGGGGUUAGAUGUCAGUCUUUUAUAAAAAGCUUCCUAUGUGUACCCUGGGUUGGGAAUUACUGCUGUUGACUAUGGUGAACACUUAAAAGGUUUUAAGUAGAGAUGUGACUUGGUUAGUUUUUCAUUUCAGAAAGAUCACUCUGACUACAGUAUGGAGAACAAAUAGGAACCAUGUGUGAGGGCUGCAGAAAAGACACUGGGGAGGCUGGUGCAGUUCAGGCUAAAGAUGAUCAGGGCCAGAACUAUAGAAGUGGCCUUAAGACUGCAGAGGAGAAGUUAGGUAACUGUCAUCCUCCAUCUGGGAUUUGGUGGCAAAUUGAAUGUGUGUGUGUGUGUGUGUGUGUGUGUGUGUGUGUGUGUGUGUGUGUGUGUUGUGGGGGUUGUGGGGAAUAGAAGAUGUGGUGGAUUACAAAAAUGACCACAGACUCUCUUGUACAUACCUUACCAUUCUCUCACUAAGCAUGAGAGUCUGUUUUUCCACUUCUUGAAUCUGAGCUGUGACUUUCUUUGGCUAGGAUAAUGUGGCAGAAGUGACAUUUACCGAGUACUCUAAGCUUGGGUUCAAGGAAUUUUGUAAGUUUGUUCUCUCUCACUCUUAGAACCCUGUGACUCCCAAGUAAAUAAGCCUAUCCUAGACAACGAGAGACCCAUGGUCCAGUUGUCUGUCAUCCCAGCCUAGAGCCUGCCAACCACUAGACAUGCAAAGGAGGCAAUGACAGGUGAUGGCAGGUACAUGAAAGAGCCCAGUGGAGAUUACUUUCUAUAAAAGACUGUGCUAGACCCAACCUUCAGCUGUCCUCAGGAAUGGCCAAUACUACAUCCGGCAAGAGCAAUUCCUUUUAAUGUUUAACAAUUAGUCUCAAAACAGAUUGUUUAAAUGUCAAAACUUAGAAAUUCUUAUAAUAGAAAAGAAACACGAUCAGCUUAAAAUACUACUGCAUAAGCCGAAGGUCAUGUCAAUUCAGUUGAGUAAAUUAAAUAAAGGAUCACUGGGGUAGAUCGUCAUCAUCAUAACAUGGUAGAGGGUUUUUUCCUUUUGAAAGAAUGUUUCUAAUGUAUUUCUUUCUUAAACAUACUGUAUUGUUUCUCUUAAUAUGUAUUUGUUAUUGAGUUUAUUAAUUAUCAAUAUACACAUGGAGAUAAAUGCAAGCCAUGCUUGAAAAUUAUAUUACUGAAAUUUAACCCAUGACUGCAGUUGGACAUCUGCCUGGAUAAUAAGCAGCUUUUUCUCUCUUUCAAAAUUCAUGCUACAGAAGGCAAAAGUCAGUGUUCUUUCAUUACUUUACAAAGCCUUUAACAAAAAAGUAGAAAUGUAACUUCCUACCCCAAACAUACUGACAGGCCAAAUUCUUGGUCUCUUCCUCACUUUUACCUUUUAUGAAGUAUCAUUCAUAAUGCUCCUGUGUAUCUUCAGCCAGCAUACCAAGCCACUGGGUAUUUAAAGUAUUAGAUUUUUAUUGCUAAAUUACCACAAGGUUAGCAGCUCAAUUUUAUUAUUUUGUUGUUUCUGUAGGUCAGAAGUCUGGGCAUGGUGUGGAUUCUCUGCUCAGGGUGUCACUGGGCUGAAAUUAAGGUGUCAGUUGGGCUGUAGUUUCAUUUGGGCUUAUCUUCUCACUGCUGGUAAAAUUUAUUUCCCUGUGGCUGUAGGACUGAGGCCCCCAUUUUCCUUUUAGUAGGCUUUAGAUAGUUCUCAGCAGCUAGAGGCCACCCACAAUUUCUUGCCAUGGGGCAGUUCACGGCAUGGCUGUUUGUUUUUGCAGGCUAGCAGGAGUGAGUAGUCUGAGUGCCUCUUCUGCAACUAGCUGGAGGAAACAUCGAUUUUAAAGGGCUCACUUGAUUAGAUCAGACCCACCUUGGCAAUCUCCCUAUUUUGAGGUUAACUGAUUGGGACCCUAAUUACAUCUGCAAUCCUUUUACAAUGGUGCCCAGAUUAGCAUUUCAGGAGAGAAGAUGUGUGUGCACCAGGGCCAAGAGUCUUGGGGGCCAUCCUAGAAUUCUGCCUACCAUGGCCACGAUUAAGGGAUCCUACAAUCACACGAUCAGAUUCUAAUUAAGUUGGGAACAAAUAUCUUCCACAGCAUGAAUUCUACCACCCAUUUCCUCCUCAUAAGUUUUCCAAUUGAUUAAACUGUCCAGUUGGAUGUUUGAGUUUACAAACUCCCACAAUCACAGGUGUUCUAGAGCUCUUGUAGGUCCUGGUGUAUGACUUGGUAGUGCACCAAGGAGGAUUAGAGAAGACAGCAGUCAACUACAGCACAGUACUGGGGUGUGAGGGAGGGAGGCCACACCAGGGACAGCAGCAGCACAUUUCAUGUACAAAGCAAGGGAAGAGAGAUGAAGCCUUCCUCCUAGCAAGUAUAGUUUUCCCCAUGUGAUUUUAUGACUUUUGACAUGUCAUUUAAUGACACCUGACAAACCAAUAUUUAUGAGGUUGUGUUUCAGUUUGAAAAAAAUGACAAACUUUUGGACAAAUAGGACAGUUUCCUAUCCUACAGCUCUCUGAUGAGGAAAUUGGAAACAGAAAUACCAUUAAUUGUUCUUUCUACGAGAGUGUGUCAAUUGUAUAAUGGAAACUUUGUGAUCCUACAUAAAACCAUUUCUAUUACUUCAGAGUACAAAGAAUUUGCAAAGAGACGUAGGCAGAAUGUGGUGUAGGGACUUUAAUUUACUUACCUGCAGACUGUUCCCAUUCCAUCAUAACUUUAUUUAAAUCAUGGUUAUGCUCUUAAUUAACAAUUUAAUUGGUUGGUGCUUUCUCAAUCCAGUUCUCUAGGGGCAUGGUUUUCUGUUUAACUUUCUUGUUUUAAUUCUUCCGCAAAACCAUACAAUUUAAUUAGGAAAGUAACCAGCUUUGUAACAGCAGUUCUAUGUCUAAUUAACUAUGCUUUGACAGUCUCUUCUCAGAUUCCGUUCAACAUGCACAUGCAUUUUGCAUUUGUUCAUGUUUCAGAGAAGACAUUGUGAAUUUAUAGCCUAUGCAUGUAGUCCAAUUACUUUCCACUUUCCCUAAGAUGCUUGGUUACAACUAGUGAAAUCAGGAAAAUUAACAAUGAUUCAUAUAUGAAUCUGAGAGCCAAAGGCCAAGAUGUAGGUUGUUAGUUCACUGUGUGUGUGGGUUUUCUCCUCCUGCAGAAUAGAUUACCACAAACUUAGCAGCUUAAAACAAUACCUAUUUAUCAUCUCACAGUUCUGCAGGUCAGAAGUCCCGACAUGGCUGGCUAGAUUCUCUCUUCAGGUAUCAAUGGGCUAAAAUCAAGCUGUUAAAACAGCCCUUAUGAGAAUUACAAGUCAGGCUUUAGGCAGAAUUAUAGUUGGGCAUUGACCGGGGUGUGCUGAUGUACUUCUACCCAAGUUCCUGCAGCUGCUAACUAACUGAGAUCCACAUUGUGGGGAGCACGGACCACCUGCUCCCCACAUUGUUCCUAUAGAUGGAAUCUCUGGCACUGGACCUUUCUGCCCAAGAGUUGCUUAAAGUGUUUUUCAGAUCUUGAAUUCCAGCAGAAUAGCUGACACCAACCAGUCUGAAGACCUCCACCAAUAAACCAACUCAGCAAAGAAGUGUAGGAAAUGCAGUUUUUUCAACUUCCUGUCCCAUGACUUCACUCCUCACUUCUCAAUCAAUCUGUGAUCCCAAUUCCUGUUCAGCCCAUCACCUGUUCAGACCCUAACCCAACCUCCUUGGGGAGGCAGAUUUGAGGUUUCCUCCCAUCUCCUUGUUUGGCUGCCCUACAAUUAUCAAACCAUUUAUCUGCUGCAACUCUUGUUGUUUCAGUAUAUUGGUCUGUUACUGCACAAUGGGCAAUCAAACCUAGUGGUCCUAUAACAGUGUCCGCUGGGCUGCCUCCUCCAGGCUUAUGUGGCAGAAUCCACUUGCUUGUGUUUGGAGGACUGAUGUCUCAAUUUCCUUGCUGCCUAUCAGCUGAAAUCCAUUCUCACUUCCUAGGGGCCAUUGGAAUUCCUUAGCUCGUGACUCUCAUGGAUAGUUCACAACUUAGCAGUUUGUGAACUGCUAUCUUGAGACCAGCAGAAGCACUUCUCCGACCUCUUCUGUGAACAGCUAGAGGAAACUUUUUGCUUUUAAAGUGCUCAUCUGAUUUAGGUCAGGUCUGCCCUAUGUCAUUUCCCUUCUGCCAUAUAAUGUAGCAUCAUCAAAGGAAUGGCUGUCCCAUCAUAUUCACAGGCCCCUCCUCAUCCUCAGGGGAGUGAUUAUUCAGGGCAUGUACACCAGAGGGGAUAGAAAUCUUGGGGCUAUCUUAGAAUUCUGUCUAUCACAGUGUGAUUUAGGGAAGGAAGGCAACUAAAGGUCUUCUGGCAAACCCUCCUUCUUCCCUUCUAGAGGCAAUGCACAGGGAAUGCAAAGAAGCUGUUAGCAAUGCCCAUAAUUCUGUCCCAUUAGCUCCACAGGCUGGAAGAUGACACACGGUCAUAUUCUUUUUUCUCUGCAGGCUGCUUUCUCUGCCUGGCCAGAAUUGCUGCUUUCCAUAGUACAAAUGGUUUGCUUGGUUGAAAUCAUUCAAAUUUAAAAUGACAUCAAGGUAACGCAAUGCUUUUAGAUAGAAAUUUAUCGAAACUCAAUAUCUCCAACUUCAAUCCAAUAAAACUACCUCUUUAGUGAAAGGAAAUGAAGAAAUGUACAAAAAAAUUUAACAGAGCAGGUCUGAAAAAUACUAUCUUUAGAAAGGCCUGCUUGUAAAAUUGGCCUUGGCUGGCAUUUGGAAAGUUGGAUAUCAGGAGGGCUACCACCACUCUAACUAAUAAGAGUGAUUCAAUGUGCUUAGAUUGUGCAAAUAAUGUAGUUCAUGCUGAACACUUACUUUUCUUCUGGGAGUCUGGAAUUUGGGUAUGUGCUAGGCAGAGGGUAUCUACAUAACUUUACCCCAAUAAAAACCCCAGGCAUUGAGUCUUUAAUGAAUUUCCCUGGUAGACAACACUGCAUGUUUGUUGUCACAAGUUGUUACUGAUGGAAUUGAGCACAUCCUGUGUGACUCUAUUGGGAGAGGCCUCUUGGAAGCUUGUGCCUCAUUUCCCCUGGACUUCACCCAAUACUCCUUUACCCUUUGCUGAUUUUGCUUUGUAUCCUUUUGCUGUGACCGAUCAUAGCUGUGAGUAGGACUAUAUGCUGAGUUUGGUGAGUCCUUAUGCAACCCAUUGAAUGGGGGCAUGGUCUUGGUGACCCCUGACUCUAGAGUUAAAGUAAAUGAUAAUGAUAAUGAUCACAUUCUGAGUCUAGGCUCCACUGCCCUGCAAACUUGGCUUCAAUCCUCUCCAUUGUGAGGAAAAUCAGAAUAAACUGACUAGAGGCAAGAGGCAGGCCUCAUUUGGGUCCUAGAGGGCUUGACACCGACUAGAUCCAUGUUCCAAUCCCAUACUGUGGCUUGGGCAAGUUACUUAACUCUGUCUCUCUUCUUCUGUAAAACAGCAAUAACAAUAGACUUACUUCAUAAGAUUGUUAAAAUGAGGCAAUUUGUAGAAGCAUGUAGCAUUGUGGCUGAGAGGAGCUGGAUGUGACUGUGUGGAGUGUAGAGCACAGCUGAUAUCCUAAUAUUAAGCUUCUUUCUUCCCUUCACUCUGCUCCCUUCUUUCUCACCAGAUCCCUUUCCCUCCAUUCUCUGAGUUGUCCCCUAAGCUCCUUUACAUCCAAACCCCAUUUCCUCCCCCAGGUGGCCGCCUUUCUUUGAGGACUAAAUGAAAACAAUCUGCAGGAAUGAUUUUCUUUAAAUGCUUACCAAAAAGGGCCCAAUGUAAAUGUGUGGUCAUCAGUGCCAGCAGCCCUAUUUACAGUCUAGAGCUUUGAUUCCAUCUAUGAUGAUUUCUGAGAGUUUAUAAGUAACCCCUACAGUCCUCACAGAUGUAAUUUUAUUGCUUUUGAUAAUGGUAAGUGAUUAUCACAAAUAUAACAGUGCAAGUUCAUUACUUUGUAAGGCCUAACACGUAAAUAGAUUCACAAAUGGUAGAAACAUCCUUUGAGAAAUAUUUUGCUCCAAUAUUUUGUUCAGAAUAUCUGUUCCCUAAAACACUGGACUUCAAAAUGAAAAGUGGCUAUUUUUCUGGUGGUAUAUGAAAACACAAUUUCAGUGGAGACGGAAACUUCCACUCAAAACUUGCUUUGCUUCUUUGCAAUUAAUAAGUUCCUGGUGGACUAUUCAGAAAGUGUUCAGCUACAAUUGCUGAAAAGGAUGUCGUUGGGUGAAGAGGUUAACGAUAGCCUCCUAGAAGCAGAUUCCUGCUAGAAGAAAAGGAGGUUUAGGAAAUGCCCAGUGACCAUGGUCUCUCUGGUAUUGCAUAAAACAACCACAAUUUGGGGAUGGGUUCUUGCAUCCUCACCCUGGGCCCUUGUAAUGAGACACCAUGCUUGAACUCAAUACUAUUUGUAUAGGGGCUGGGAAUGAGGAGAAGACAGGGAAUCAAUAAACUCAAUGUUCAAGACAUCAUUUGCAAAUAAAUUCAAUAUUUGAAGGGGAACAUGCCAAAGAGAAAAAUCAAACCAUAAAUAAAAGAAAAAAAGUUUGUUAAUUACAAAUAUCUCCAGAAGCCACAAUGUCUCCUUCCUCCCUCAUUCCCUAACACUCCUUCAGGUAGGACUGUACUUCAGUCAUGUAGGAAAAAACAUUUUUCUAUUUCAUAUUAAAGAUUAAUGAGGCCUGUUUGGUAAUCUGCUUUGCUGUCCAUUAAAAUGAAGCCUAAACCACCACAUAGUUUUUGGGCUUGCUUGUGUUUUGGUAGGCAUGGAAAAGAACCAAUCACACCACACUUCUCAUCGUAACUUUUAGGUAAAAACUAACACUCAAUUGUAUGCACUGAUGGAGUUACAGAAAUGCUCUAACUCUAAAAUCCAUAAAGUUUAUCAAAGAUUGAAUAAUCAGAGCCUUCAACCUUUGCCAAGAAAAUUCUCUUAUCAGACCCACUGAAACAUAGCAAAACUAAUUAACUUGAAUUUCUGGCUUUAAUUUUUCCUCAACUCACUUCUGCUUAAAGUUUUAAUUAAGAGGAAAGUGCCUAGAUGAUCAGUAGGAAGAUUCAAGAAGGAAAAGAGAAGCUCUAGAAAACAGGAAACUGAAUUCAUUCAUUCAUUAAGGAAAAAUAACAAAACCAUGUAUUGAACUUCUAGGACAUUCCAGACACUAACUAGAAAUACAGCAAUGAACAAAAAAUAGAUAAACUCUCUCAUGAAAUUUACAUUCUACCUUGGAGAUGGGUAGUAAAUAGAUAAUGUGUCAGAUAGAAAAUUUUCUUUUUU
Molecule: long non-coding RNA, 11104 nt
Filed under: Homo sapiens (human)
Lineage: Eukaryota; Metazoa; Chordata; Mammalia; Primates; Hominidae
Description: HSALNT0347536
Source: RNAcentral